AUGAAAGGUAUCUUGUCAUAAUGCAGAUUCGAAUUCAGUGGGUCUGGUGUAGGAUUUAAGAUUCUGCCUUUCAGACAAGCUUCCAGAGAAAACUAAU
RNAcentral lists this microRNA precursor (97 nucleotides) under Marmota monax (woodchuck). Lineage: Eukaryota; Metazoa; Chordata; Mammalia; Rodentia; Sciuridae. The record is from RNAcentral.